CAGGGUUCCAACUCCCUAAACCAUGUGAAUUCAUACCUGUUCUCUCGGCCGGCGCUCUUGGAGGGCUCCGGCUGUAGGCUUCCGGGUCUACAGCGCCGGCCGGGGGGGUCACACUCUGAAAACAUCUCUUCUGAGUACCUACCAAAUAAGUCA
This 153-nucleotide unclassified non-coding RNA is filed under the name uncultured Ascomycota. RNAcentral describes it as "sequence contains ITS1". Lineage: Eukaryota; Fungi; Ascomycota. The record is from RNAcentral.